UCAGGACGAACGCUGGCGGCGUGCCUAAUACAUGCAAGUCGAACGGUCUUUCUAUGGAAGCUUGCUUCCACUGAGAAGAUAGUGGCGAACGGGUGAGUAACACGUGGGUAACCUGCCCAUAAGAGGGGGAUAACAUCCGGAAACGGGUGCUAAUACCGCAUAGUUUCUUGAUCGCAUGAUCGGGAAAGGAAAGACGGCCUUUGUGCUGUCGCUUAUGGAUGGACCCGCGGCGUAUUAGUUAGUUGGUGAGGUAACGGCUCACCAAGACGAUGAUACGUAGCCGACCUGAGAGGUGAUCGGCCACAUUGGGACUGAGACACGGCCCAAACUCCUACGGGAGGCAGCAGUAGGGAAUCUUCCGCAAUGGACGAAAGUCUGACGGAGCAACGCCGCGUGAGUGAAGAAAAGGUUUUCGGAUCGUAAAACUCUGUUGUCAGAGAAGAACAAGUUGGAGAGUAACUGCUCCAGCCUUGACGGUAUCUGACCAGAAAGCCACGGCUAACUACGUGCCAGCAGCGGC
Molecule: ribosomal RNA, 520 nt
Filed under: uncultured bacterium
Lineage: Bacteria
Description: bacterial SSU rRNA
Rfam family: Bacterial small subunit ribosomal RNA
Source: RNAcentral